This 216-nucleotide ribosomal RNA is filed under the name Glomeromycotina sp. Its description in RNAcentral is "partial small subunit ribosomal RNA". The stretch from base 40 to 216 matches the Rfam family "Eukaryotic small subunit ribosomal RNA", at positions 686 to 864 of the family's 1831-position model. Lineage: Eukaryota; Fungi; Glomeromycota. The record is from RNAcentral.
GGGUCAGUAGGUUGGUCGUGCCACCGGUACGUACUGGUCUCACUGAUUCCUCCUUCCUGAAGAACCGUAAUGCCAUUAAUUUGGUGUUGCGGGGAAGCAGGACUGUUACUUUGAAAAAAUUAGAGUGUUUAAAGCAAGCUAACGCUUGAACACAUUAGCAUGGAAUAAUGAAAUAGGACGAUCGAUCCUAUUUUGUUGGUUUCUAGGAUUGACGUA